This 253-nucleotide ribosomal RNA is filed under the name uncultured bacterium. Its description in RNAcentral is "partial 16S ribosomal RNA". It matches the Rfam family "Bacterial small subunit ribosomal RNA", at positions 524 to 776 of the family's 1533-position model. RNAcentral also lists the same sequence under 1 other name. The record is from RNAcentral.
GACGAACCGAGCGAACGUUAUUCGGAAUCACUGGGCUUAAAGGGUGCGUAGGCGGGCACGCGAGUCAGGGGUGAAAUCCCACGGCCCAACCGUGGAAGUGCCUCUGAUACCGCGAGCCUCGAGGGGGAUAGGGGCGUGCGGAACUUCCGGUGGAGCGGUGAAAUGCGUAGAUAUCGGAAGGAACACCGGUGGCGAAAGCGGCGCGCUGGAUCCCUACUGACGCUGAGGCACGAAAGCCAGGGGAGCAAACGGG